This 1274-nucleotide long non-coding RNA is filed under the name Homo sapiens (human). RNAcentral describes it as "HSALNT0392806". Lineage: Eukaryota; Metazoa; Chordata; Mammalia; Primates; Hominidae. The record is from RNAcentral.
GUAAGUCCAGCCCGAGGCUAAGGUGAGAGCGUCUGCCGGGACAGUGUGGCUGGACCCACGUGGCAGGGUGGAUCGGGCGGAGGCCGUCAAGCUAGCCGGAAGGGGCUGUGCUGUCAACCAGCGAGCGCAGGAGGUGUUAACCACCGAAGGGAGGUAGAAUGUUUUUCCCCACCAGAGGAGGCAGCGACCACGUCUCCUCUAUGGAGGCAUUCAAGAGCCGUCCAGCUGAAGCAGCAUCACUGUCUGAGCUCGGAAGGCACAAUCCACAUAGGUCUGCAUGGUCCACCGAGCUGCAUACCCACGGGGCCAGCGGGAGGUGGGCAGCUGCUGGGCUCUCUUCUGAAGCAGACAGGAUCUCACUCUGUUGCUGAGGCUGGAUCACAGCUCCCUGCAACCUUGAACUCUCCCUCAAGCAAUUCUCCCCACUCUGCCUUCCAAAGCACUAGCAUUAUAGGCCUAAGCCACCACUCCCAUCCACUGUAGUGUAAACUGUCUCCUUCAAUGUUUCCAAUAGUUGCGGAGCAGAUCAGAUAAGGGUUCUUCCUGUCUGUUGCUUCAAGUUUCAUUCUCUCUUUAAACAAUACAAGGUUGGCUUCCAUGGUUCCUUCUUAAAGAAUGUUGAAGGUGUGUCUUCAGAUUCAUUUAGUGUUCGUGGAACCCCAGGGAAAGCUGAUGUAAAAACCUCUUUUUUCUCCCAUAUGUCUCAAAAAGUUGUAUUUUCUGGGUCCAAGGGAUCUGCAAGCCUCCUAAAGGCAUUUCCAUUGUCACUACCACCAGGUGUGAACUGUAAUCUGGCACGUAUAGUUCCAAGAACUGUCAUAAUAGAUGCUGAAGAAACAUUGUGAAGUUAACUCGCUGUUACCAACUGUGAAGUCAUUAGCUAGAGGAAUCUUGGGCGGUCUGAAAUCUGAGAUACUGUGGAAAGAACAGAAAGAUCCUGUAUCUUUCCUAUAAUUGUUCUACUGGAAGUUGUCAUUUUACACAGGAGACAUUCUGUUUUAUUUAUUUUCUUUUGAGACAGGGUCUCACUCUGUCGCCCAGGCUGGAGUGCAGUGUUGUUACCACAGGUCACUGGUGCCUCCACUGCCUGAGGACUGCUCAAGCAAUCCUCCUGCCUCAGUCCCCUGAGGAGCUGGGGCCACAGGCCUGCACCACCAUGCCUGGCUAAUUAUUUUUAUUUGUAGAGACAAAGUCUAUCUUGCCUAGGCUGAUCUCGAACUCCUGGGCUCAAGUAAUCCUCCCGCGGUGGCUUCUCAAAGUGCUUGGGAUUACAG